This 253-nucleotide ribosomal RNA is filed under the name uncultured bacterium. Its description in RNAcentral is "partial 16S ribosomal RNA". It matches the Rfam family "Bacterial small subunit ribosomal RNA", at positions 524 to 776 of the family's 1533-position model. The record is from RNAcentral.
UACGUAGGGUGCAAGCGUUGUCCGGAAUUACUGGGCGUAAAGCGUGCGCAGGCGGUUCGUUAAGACAGAUGUGAAAUCCCCGGGCUUAACCUGGGAACUGCAUUUGUGACUGGCGAGCUAGAGUACGGUAGAGGGGGAUGGAAUUCCGCGUGUAGCAGUGAAAUGCGUAGAUAUGCGGAGGAACACCGAUGGCGAAGGCACUCUACUGGGCCACUACUGACACUGAGAGACGAAAGCUAGGGGAGCAAAUGGG